Molecule: non-coding RNA, 115 nt
Organism: Triticum urartu
Lineage: Eukaryota; Viridiplantae; Streptophyta; Magnoliopsida; Poales; Poaceae
Source: Rfam
UAAAUACUCCCUCCGUUCGGAAUUACUUGUCGCAGAAAUGGAUGUAUCUAGAUGUAUUUUAGUUCUAGAUACAUCCAUAUUCGAGACAAGUAAUUCCGAACGGAGGGAGUAUUUA